GGCCUCCUUGUGCUUACCACAGGCGGUGUUUUUUAACAUUGCCUGUACAGAAGGAGGAGGCAGAGUAAAACUCACCCCAUAUACCCCUCACCCAGGCCCUUUGCCUGGUCUGUAUGUGAAUGGGAGGACUGGA
Small nucleolar RNA from Phyllostomus discolor (pale spear-nosed bat), 133 nucleotides. RefSeq annotates it as small nucleolar RNA SNORA51. NCBI's taxonomy places the organism in Eukaryota, Metazoa, Chordata, Mammalia, Chiroptera, Phyllostomidae. The transcript has a single exon. The record is from RefSeq and is a predicted model, not a curated record.